This 299-nucleotide signal recognition particle RNA is filed under the name Cebus imitator (Panamanian white-faced capuchin). RNAcentral's name for it is "Metazoan signal recognition particle RNA (ENSCCAG00000001756.1)". It matches the Rfam family "Metazoan signal recognition particle RNA". Rfam says of the family: The signal recognition particle (SRP) is a universally conserved ribonucleoprotein. It is involved in the co-translational targeting of proteins to membranes. The record is from RNAcentral. Lineage: Eukaryota; Metazoa; Chordata; Mammalia; Primates; Cebidae.
GCCGGGCUUGGUGGCGCGUGCCUGUAGUCCCAGCUACUCGGGAGGCUGAGGUGGGAGGAUCGCUUGAGCCCAGGAGUUCUGGGCUGUAGUGCGCUAUGCCAAUCGAGUGUCUGCACUAAGUUCGGCAUCGAUAUGGUGACCUCGCGGGAGUGGGGGACCAGCAGGUUGCCUGAGGAGGGGUGAACCAGCCCAGGUCGGAACCCGAGCAGGUCAAAAUUCCUGUGCUGAUCAGUAGUGGGAUCGUGCCUGUGAAUGGCCACUGCACUCCAGCCUGGGCAGCACAGCGAGACCCCAUCUCU